This 543-nucleotide ribosomal RNA is filed under the name uncultured bacterium. RNAcentral's name for it is "bacterial SSU rRNA". It matches the Rfam family "Bacterial small subunit ribosomal RNA", at positions 355 to 896 of the family's 1533-position model. The record is from RNAcentral.
UGAGGAAUAUUGGUCAAUGGGCGAAAGCCUGAACCAGCCAAUCCGCGUGCAGGAUGACGGCCCUAUGGGUUGUAAACUGCUUUUGUACGAGAAGAAAUCCCUGACGUGUCAGGAGCUGACGGUACCGUACGAAUAAGCAUCGGCUAACUCCGUGCCAGCAGCCGCGGUAAUACGGAGGGUGCAAGCGUUAAUCGGAAUUACUGGGCGUAAAGCGCGCGUAGGCGGCCGAAUCAGUCGGGUGUGAAAGCCCCGGGCUCAACCUGGGAACUGCAUUCGAUACUGUUUGGCUGGAGUAUGGGAGAGGGCAGUGGAAUUCCACGUAUAGCGGUGAAAUGCGUAGAUAUGUGGAGGAACACCAGUGGCGAAGGCGACUGCCUGGCCCAAUACUGACGCUGAGGUGCGAAAGCGUGGGGAUCAAACAGGAUUAGAUACCCUGGUAGUCCACGCCGUAAACGAUGUCAACUAGCCGUUGGGGGACUUGAUCCUUUAGUGGCGCAGCUAACGCGAUAAGUUGACCGCCUGGGGAGUACGGCCGCAAGGUUA